RNAcentral lists this ribosomal RNA (1180 nucleotides) under uncultured Bacillus sp. RNAcentral describes it as "bacterial SSU rRNA". It matches the Rfam family "Bacterial small subunit ribosomal RNA", at positions 198 to 1365 of the family's 1533-position model. Lineage: Bacteria; Bacillati; Bacillota; Bacilli; Caryophanales; Bacillaceae. The record is from RNAcentral.
ACAUAAAAGGUGGCUUCGGCUACCACUUACAGAUGGACCCGCGGCGCAUUAGCUAGUUGGUGAGGUAACGGCUCACCAAGGCGACGAUGCGUAGCCGACCUGAGAGGGUGAUCGGCCACACUGGGACUGAGACACGGCCCAGACUCCUACGGGAGGCAGCAGUAGGGAAUCUUCCGCAAUGGACGAAAGUCUGACGGAGCAACGCCGCGUGAGUGAUGAAGGUUUUCGGAUCGUAAAGCUCUGUUGUUAGGGAAGAACAAGUACCGUUCGAAUAGGGCGGUACCUUGACGGUACCUAACCAGAAAGCCACGGCUAACUACGUGCCAGCAGCCGCGGUAAUACGUAGGUGGCAAGCGUUGUCCGGAAUUAUUGGGCGUAAAGGGCUCGCAGGCGGUUUCUUAAGUCUGAUGUGAAAGCCCCCGGCUCAACCGGGGAGGGUCAUUGGAAACUGGGGAACUUGAGUGCAGAAGAGGAGAGUGGAAUUCCACGUGUAGCGGUGAAAUGCGUAGAGAUGUGGAGGAACACCAGUGGCGAAGGCGACUCUCUGGUCUGUAACUGACGCUGAGGAGCGAAAGCGUGGGGAGCGAACAGGAUUAGAUACCCUGGUAGUCCACGCCGUAAACGAUGAGUGCUAAGUGUUAGGGGGUUUCCGCCCCUUAGUGCUGCAGCUAACGCAUUAAGCACUCCGCCUGGGGAGUACGGUCGCAAGACUGAAACUCAAAGGAAUUGACGGGGGCCCGCACAAGCGGUGGAGCAUGUGGUUUAAUUCGAAGCAACGCGAAGAACCUUACCAGGUCUUGACAUCCUCUGACAAUCCUAGAGAUAGGACGUCCCCUUCGGGGGCAGAGUGACAGGUGGUGCAUGGUUGUCGUCAGCUCGUGUCGUGAGAUGUUGGGUUAAGUCCCGCAACGAGCGCAACCCUUGAUCUUAGUUGCCAGCAUUCAGUUGGGCACUCUAAGGUGACUGCCGGUGACAAACCGGAGGAAGGUGGGGAUGACGUCAAAUCAUCAUGCCCCUUAUGACCUGGGCUACACACGUGCUACAAUGGACAGAACAAAGGGCAGCGAAACCGCGAGGUUAAGCCAAUCCCACAAAUCUGUUCUCAGUUCGGAUCGCAGUCUGCAACUCGACUGCGUGAAGCUGGAAUCGCUAGUAAUCGCGGAUCAGCAUGCCGCGGUGA